RNAcentral lists this ribosomal RNA (501 nucleotides) under uncultured bacterium. Its description in RNAcentral is "bacterial SSU rRNA". It matches the Rfam family "Bacterial small subunit ribosomal RNA", at positions 32 to 508 of the family's 1533-position model. The record is from RNAcentral.
AAUCAACGCUGGCGGCGUGCCUCAGACAUGCAAGUCGAACGCGAAAGUCCCCUUCGGGGGGCAAGUAGAGUGGCGCACGGGUGAGUAACACGUAGGUAAUCUACCUUUGGAUUGGGAAUAACAACCGGAAACGGUUGCUAAUACCGAAUAAUGCAGCGGCACCUAAUGGUGACAGUUGUUAAAGCGGGGGAUCGCAAGACCUCGCGUCUGAAGAGGAGCCUGCGGCAGAUUAGCUAGUUGGUAAGGUAACGGCUUACCAAGGCGAUGAUCUGUAGCCGGCCUGAGAGGGCGGUCGGCCACACUGACACUGACAUACGGGUCAGACUCCUACGGGAGGCAGCAGUCGGGAAUUUUGGGCAAUGGGCGAAAGCCUGACCCAGCAACGCCGCGUGAAGGAUGAAAUCCCUCGGGAUGUAAACUUCGCAAGAACGGGAAGAAUAAGUAAGAGUUAAUAUCUCUUAUGAUGACGGUACUGUUUGUAAGCUCCGGCUAACUCCGUGC